RNAcentral lists this ribosomal RNA (233 nucleotides) under uncultured bacterium. Its description in RNAcentral is "partial 16S ribosomal RNA". It matches the Rfam family "Bacterial small subunit ribosomal RNA", at positions 122 to 354 of the family's 1533-position model. The record is from RNAcentral.
UAACCUGCCUUGGAGUGGGGAAUAACACAUCGAAAGAUGUGCUAAUACCGCAUGAUGCAGUUGGGCCGCAUGGCUCUGACUGCCAAAGAUUUAUCACUCUGAGAUGGACUCGCGUCUGAUUAGCUGGUUGGCGGGGUAACGGCCCACCAAGGCGACGAUCAGUAGCCGGACUGAGAGGUUGACCGGCCACAUUGGGACUGAGACACGGCCCAGACUCCUACGGAAGGCAGCAG